Molecule: ribosomal RNA, 28 nt
Filed under: Campylopus pilifer
Lineage: Eukaryota; Viridiplantae; Streptophyta; Bryopsida; Dicranales; Leucobryaceae
Description: partial 5.8S ribosomal RNA
Source: RNAcentral
GAACACAACUCUCAGCAACGGAUAUCUU